CUGAUACAUACAUUAGUAGCAAUAUUAAAUAAGGUAAAAUACUCCAGUGACAUCCUAGUUACAUGCUUGGGGUGGGUUUUUGGUUUCGUUUUAAAGUAUUUAUGAGGGAUACUUUCAUGCAUUUUCCAUGAAACUAAUUUUUCUCUCUCUUUUUUUAGCUUCAGCUUUAGCUGCAGCUGCCUCUGUUCAGCCACUUGCAACACAGUGUUUCCAACUCUCUAACAUGUUUAACCCUCAAACAGAAGAAGAAGUUGGAUGGGAUACCGAGAUUAAGGAUGAUGUGAUUGAAGAAUGUAAUAAACAUGGAGGAGUUAUUCAUAUUUAUGUUGACAAAAAUUCAGCUCAGGGCAAUGUGUAUGUGAAGUGCCCAUCAAUUGCUGCAGCUAUUGCUGCUGUCAAUGCAUUGCAUGGCAGGUGGUUUGCUGGUAAAAUGAUAACAGCAGCAUAUGUACCUCUUCCAACUUACCACAACCUGUUUCCUGAUUCUAUGACAGCAACACAACUACUGGUUCCAAGUAGACGAUGAAGGAAGAUACAGUCCCUUAUGUAUAUAGCUUUUUUCUUUCUUGAGAAUUCAUCUUGAGUUAUCUUUUAUUUAGAUAAAAAUAAAGAGGCAAGGAUCUACUGUC
This 629-nucleotide small RNA is filed under the name Pongo abelii (Sumatran orangutan). RNAcentral's name for it is "retained intron". The record is from RNAcentral. Lineage: Eukaryota; Metazoa; Chordata; Mammalia; Primates; Hominidae.